This is an RNA transcript of Mobula hypostoma (lesser devil ray), 940 nucleotides long. It is a transcript of the gene named E3 ubiquitin-protein ligase TRIM39-like, with no coding region annotated. Lineage: Eukaryota; Metazoa; Chordata; Chondrichthyes; Myliobatiformes; Myliobatidae. The transcript has 2 exons. The record is from RefSeq and is a predicted model, not a curated record.
UUGUCACAAGUACAUCGGAAUAUUGAAUGACAAUGAAACGUGUUGUUUGAGUCAAUGACCAACACAGCCUGAAGAUGUGCUGUGGGUACUGAACAAGUGUUGCCAUGUUUCCAGUGUCAACAUAACAUGCCCACAACUGACUAACCCGAACCCGUUUGACUUUCAGAAUGUGGGAGGAAACCGGAGCAUCCAGAGGAAACCCAUGUGCUCACGGGGAGAAAAGCGGCAGGAAUUGAAACCCAGUCUUCCGAUUGCUGGGGCUGUGAAGUGUAAAGUUAACUGCUACAUUACCAUGCUCCCCUGGAUUGCAUCCUUCUCAUUGACAAUCGUCUCAGACAAAACCGAGUGUCCGUCUCCUUGGAUGUGGAAAUGGCGAAUCCGUAUCUCGAGGUUUCUGAGGAUUGGAAGAGUGUGAGAUGGACCCAGACCUGGAGGGAUCUCCCUGACACCAGGAAGAGAUUCACAAAUUUGCCUUGUGUGCUGGGAUCGGAGGGAUUCGCAUCGGGCACACAUUACUGGGAGGUGGAGGUGACGGCGAAUCGGGUCUGGUGGCUGGGAGUCGCCGCAGAGUCUAUGGGGAGGAAGGGAUUGUUCAGUCUGAGUCCGGAGACCGGAUUCUGGGUCAUCGGGCGGGUUGAUGACGUGCUCGGUGUUCUCCCCUCCCCUGUGUUCCAUCUCCCUGCCGGUCCCAUCCCCGGGAGGGUGGGUGUUUAUCUCAGUUACGAGUCCGGGACGGUUUCAUUUUACAACGCGGAGACCAAGUCCCAUCUCCACAUCUUCACUGGGAAUAAAUUCACGGGGAAACUUUAUCCUUUCUUUGCGACCUGGGAUGGAAACCACUGGCUGAGAAUCUGCUCCGGGUCUGUAAACGGGUCGGGUCCCGGGACCAGCGUCAGGAGUAAAGUCCCUGUAAAUAUAAAAUUGCAGACAGUGAAAUAAA